RNAcentral lists this ribosomal RNA (425 nucleotides) under uncultured bacterium. Its description in RNAcentral is "bacterial SSU rRNA". It matches the Rfam family "Bacterial small subunit ribosomal RNA", at positions 917 to 1345 of the family's 1533-position model. The record is from RNAcentral.
GGGCCCGCACAAGCGGUGGAGCAUGUGGUUUAAUUCGAUGAUACGCGAGGAACCUUACCAGGGCUUAAAUGUAAGUUGCAUGGAUCAGAGAUGGUCCUUUCUUCGGACUACUUACAAGGUGCUGCAUGGUUGUCGUCAGCUCGUGCCGUGAGGUGUCAGGUUAAGUCCUAUAACGAGCGCAACCCCUAUCGUUAGUUGCCAACAGGUUAAGCUGGGAACUCUAACGAGACUGCCGGUGCAAACCGCGAGGAAGGCGGGGACGACGUCAAGUCAUCACGGCCCUUACGUCCUGGGCCACACACGUGCUACAAUGGUUGGUACAGAGGGCAGCUACCGGGUGACCGGAUGCAAAUCUCUAAAGCCAAUCUCAGUUCGGAUUGUUGUCUGCAACUCGACAACAUGAAGUCGGAAUCGCUAGUAAUCGC